RNAcentral lists this small RNA (73 nucleotides) under human gut metagenome. RNAcentral describes it as "Gut-1 RNA". It matches the Rfam family "Gut-1 RNA". The record is from RNAcentral.
CAACGAAAUUUGCCCUUGCGGGCAAGUGAAAUAUUUCUGCGAAAUGUGAAAUACGCCUGCGGCGUGUGAAAUA